This is a long non-coding RNA of Armigeres subalbatus, 967 nucleotides long. RefSeq lists it as uncharacterized. The record is from RefSeq and is a predicted model, not a curated record. NCBI's taxonomy places the organism in Eukaryota, Metazoa, Arthropoda, Insecta, Diptera, Culicidae. The transcript has 3 exons.
GUCGCCGCGUCAAUGUCGUCGUCGCAAGUAUAUUUAUUUUUUCCUAUAUUUUUAUCAUUUAUUGGACAGUCAAAAGUGAUAAUCUUUGUUCCGAACAUUAUUCAAGCACCGGUCGGCAGCACCAUAUCGGCUUCCUCGAAGGUUCACCUGGCGAUGGCGAUCAACGAUAAUAGGAAAACAAUUGCUGACCACAAACGGCACAAUACCUUGCUUCGUGCACCUGGUGACAUGGCGAUCAACGGUUAUAGGAAACAGAAUAUGUAGUUCCGAACCAUCGACGGAGAGAACCAUCUCUGCUCAUUUAACUGACGAUUUCUGACCGCAAACGGCACAAUUCGCUGCUUUGGUCUCGGCUUCGGUAUCAAUAAAUCCUACAGCACAACAGUUUUGCCAUUGGGCACCCAGCACAUCGAUGGAUCGCAAGGCCGGCUGUUACUAAAAUCUCCAAUGGAUUAUAUUUCCGGACAACUGUAAUGAGGAGAGCUAAGCGAUGUUCGUUGCAACUUGCAUGUUGUCUCGUCUUGUUUCCGAUCGCCAGCUUAUGGUGGUGGCCGCGAUGACGACAAGGAAAACAGACGACCAAAUUAACUGGUAAAUGCUCGGGUAAAUGAGAGAGGAAAAUCCAGACCACGAAUCCGUAGAAAAUACAGGAAACGCAAGGGGGAAAUGGCAUGUAGGCGCUAUGGGAAUGCUGAUUUCUUUUUAAACCAAAUCUUCUUCCGAUAAGUGGCAAUAGUUUAAUUAAUCGGUCCAACGACAUAUCCAGUUUCUGAAUGCCGUCAAAUAUCCACACCAGUGCUUUACUUAUUUUCCCGUGCUUGAGGCGCUUGACGAUUGAACAUAUAUACUGCCACGAAGCUACUGUUCAGGGAUAUUCCGUCCCUUCCGAGAUGCUUGGCCUGGCAUUUAGCAACAUGGAAGAUGAAUAUUUAUCGAGAUAUUUUAUUAAAAUGUAGAGUAUGUAUUU